Molecule: ribosomal RNA, 497 nt
Filed under: uncultured bacterium
Lineage: Bacteria
Description: partial 16S ribosomal RNA
Rfam family: Bacterial small subunit ribosomal RNA
Source: RNAcentral
GAUGAACGCUGGCGGCGUGCCUAAUACAUGCAAGUCGAGCGAACAGACGAGGAGCUUGCUCCUCUGACGUUAGCGGCGGACGGGUGAGUAACACGUGGAUAACCUACCUAUAAGACUGGGAUAACUUCGGGAAACCGGAGCUAAUACCGGAUAAUAUAUUGAACCGCAUGGUUCAAUAGUGAAAGACGGUUUUGCUGUCACUUAUAGAUGGAUCCGCGCCGCAUUAGCUAGUUGGUAAGGUAACGGCUUACCAAGGCAACGAUGCGUAGCCGACCUGGGAGGGUGAUCGGACACACUGGAACCGGAACACGGUCCAGACUCCUACGGGAGGCAGCAGUAGGGAAUCUUCCGCAAGGGGCGAAGGCCUGACGGAGCAACGCCGCGUGAGUGAUGAAGGUCUUCGGAUCGUAAAACUCUGUUAUUAGGGAAGAACAAAUGUGUAAGUACCUAUGCACGUCUUGACGGUACCUAAUCAGAAAGCCAGGGCUAACUACGUG